This 1308-nucleotide long non-coding RNA is filed under the name Salmo salar (Atlantic salmon). RNAcentral describes it as "lncRNA (ENSSSAG00000108307.1)". Lineage: Eukaryota; Metazoa; Chordata; Actinopteri; Salmoniformes; Salmonidae. The record is from RNAcentral.
UAAAUAUAACUGGAUGUUUUUCAACUCUGCUUUUAUCUUCCUGAGUCUCGAUCAUUCGCCUCGAGAACAGCCAUGGUCAAAACGGAGGGGGGCUGAAUAUUAAAUUAGAACAGCCAUGGUCAGAACAGAGGGAGGGGCUGAAUAUUAAAUUAGAACAGCCAUGGUCAAAACGGAGGGAGGAGGGGCUGAAUAUUAAAUUAGAACAGCCAUGGUCAGAACGGAGGGGGGCUGAAUAUUAAAUUAGAACAGCCAUGGUCAGAACGGAGGGAGGGGCUGAAUAUUAAAUUAGAAGAGCCAUGGUCAGAACGGAGGGAGGGGGAUAUUAAAUUAGAACAGCCAUGGUCAGAACAGAGGGAGGUGAAUAUUAAAUUAGAACAGCCAUGGUCAGAACGGAGGGAGGGGCUGAAUAUUAAAUUAGAACAGCCAUGGUCAGAACAGAGGGAGGUGAAUAUUAAAUUAGAACAGCCAUGGUCAGAACGGAGGGAGGGGCUGAAUAUUAAAUUAGAACAGCCAUGGUCAGAACGGAGGGAGGGACUGAAUAUUAAAUUAGAAGAGCCAUGGUCAGAACGGAGGGAGGUGAAUAUUAAAUUAGAACAGCCAUGGUCAGAACGGAGGGAGGGGCUGAAUAUUAAAUUAGAACAGCCAUGGUCAGAACGGAGGGAGGGACUGAAUAUUAAAUUAGAAGAGCCAUGGUCAGAACGGAGGGAGGUGAAUAUUAAAUUAGAACAGCCAUGGUCAGAACGGAGGGAGGGGCUGAAUAUUAAAUUAGAACAGCCAUGGUCAGAACGGAGGGAGGGACCAUACUACUCUUCCUGUUCUGUUGUUUUUACUUUCGCCUGUGAGCAUCGACAGACCAGAGUGGUUUCUGGGCCCCGCUGCAAGAGAGUGUGUGUGUGUUGUAUAUACUCUGCUGUGUGGGUGUGUGUGUGUGUGUGUUGUAUAUCUACUCGUGUGUUGACAGUAUGAAACGUGGUGGUCUGUGGGAAUGUGGCGGUCUGUGGGAAUGUGGCGGUCUGUGGGAAUGUGGCGUGUUUGCAGUGAUGCAUCUAUGGACAUCCUCUCAGAAUAAAUAAAUGUUCUAUACAAACUGUUCCCCUCGACUCUUUUACUACUGUCUGUCUGUCUGUCUGCCUGUCUGCCUGUCUGUGUACAGUUGAAGUCUGUAAACAUCCACUUAGGUUGGAGUCAUUAAAACUUGUUUUUCAGCCAUUCCACAAAUUUCUUGUUAACAAACUAUAGUUUUGGCAAGUCGGUUAGGACAUCUACUUUGUGCAUGACACAAGUCAUUUUUCCAACAAUUGUUUACAG